RNAcentral lists this ribosomal RNA (119 nucleotides) under Pteropus alecto (black flying fox). The record is from RNAcentral. Lineage: Eukaryota; Metazoa; Chordata; Mammalia; Chiroptera; Pteropodidae. RNAcentral also lists the same sequence under 1 other name.
GUCUAUGGCCAUGCCACCCUGAACAAGCCCGAUCCCGUCUGAUCUCGGAAGCUAAGCAGGGCCAGACCUAGUUAGUACUUGGACGGGAGACCACCUAGGAAGACCAGGUGCUGUAGGCG